GACGAACGCUGGCGGCGUGCUUAACACAUGCAAGUCGAACGAAGUGGCGAACGGGUGAGUAACGCGUAAUCAACCUGAUCUUCAGAGGGGUACAACAGUUGGAAACGACUGCUAAUAACGCAUACUGAAGGAGGGGAUUGCGUCUGAUGAGCUAGUUGGAGGGGUAACGGCACACCAAGGCUAUGAUCAGUAGCCGGACUGAGAGGAGGAACGGGCACAUUGGGUCGGAGACACGGCCCAGACUCCUACGGGGGGCAGCAGUGGGGAAUCUUCCGGAAUGGACGAAAGUCUGACGGAGCAACGCCGCGUGAGUGAUGACGGCCUUCGGGUGGGAAAGCUCUGUUAAGCGGGAAGCGGUACCGGAAUAGAAAGCCACGGCUAACUACGUGCCAGCCGCCGCGGUAAUUC
Molecule: ribosomal RNA, 408 nt
Filed under: uncultured bacterium
Lineage: Bacteria
Description: partial 16S ribosomal RNA
Rfam family: Bacterial small subunit ribosomal RNA
Source: RNAcentral